UACGGAGGGGGCUAGCGUUGUCCGAAGUUACUGGGCGUAAAGCGCGCGUAGGCGGGUUGGUAAGUCCGCUGUGAAAGCCCGGAGCUUAACUCCGGAGGGUCGGUGGAUACUGCCAGUCUUGAAGGUGCUAGGGGGAGAUGGAAUUACCGGUGUAGCGGUGAAAUGCGUAGAUAUCGGUAGGAACACCAGUGGCGAAGGCGGUCUCCUGGGGCAUUCUUGACGCUGAGGCGCGAAAGCUGGGGGAGCAAACGGGAUUAGAUACCCCGGUAGUCCCAGCCCUAAACGAUGAAUACUAGGUGUCGGGGGUAUCGACCCCUCCGGUGCCGCCGCUAACGCAGUAAGUAUUCCGCCUGGGGAGUACGGCCGCAAGGUUGAA
RNAcentral lists this ribosomal RNA (376 nucleotides) under uncultured bacterium. Its description in RNAcentral is "bacterial SSU rRNA". It matches the Rfam family "Bacterial small subunit ribosomal RNA", at positions 524 to 898 of the family's 1533-position model. The record is from RNAcentral.